This 564-nucleotide long non-coding RNA is filed under the name Pongo abelii (Sumatran orangutan). Its description in RNAcentral is "lincRNA". Lineage: Eukaryota; Metazoa; Chordata; Mammalia; Primates; Hominidae. The record is from RNAcentral.
AACGCGCUGAGGUCUGUUUUAUGUUUUGGAAGAUUUGUUCUUUGGCUUUUUUGCAACAAAUUUUGUUGCUGCUCAGUCUUUGGGUCCACGUUGCCUUUAUGAGCUGUAACAUUUACUACGAAGGUUUGCAGCUUUGCUCCUGAAGCCAGCAAGACCACGAACCCACCAGGAGGAAGGAACAACUCCAGACGCGGUGCUUUAAGGAGCUGCAGCACUCACCGUGAAGGUCUUCAGCUUCGUUCCUGAGCCAGUUAGACCACGAACCCACCAGAAGGAAGAAACUCCGAACACAUCUGAGCGUCAGAAGGAACAAACUCCUGACACACUGCCUUUAAGAACUGUGAUAUUCACUACGAGGGUCUGCGGCUUCAUUCUUGAAGUUAGGGAGACCAAGAACCCACCAAUUCCGGACCCAGGAGCACCAGCACGAACGUUCUGGAUAUUCGGCUCUGAGUCGGUUUGUUGUUCAGGAUGGUUUAAAGGUUUUGGCAGAGUUCAAAGACCGGGAAGCAAAGUUCAGCCAUGUUGGGCCUUUGGGCUCAUAGAUGAGGAAGGGUACCCCAA